RNAcentral lists this unclassified non-coding RNA (253 nucleotides) under uncultured Planctomycetia bacterium. Its description in RNAcentral is "contains 16S-23S intergenic spacer region". It matches the Rfam family "Bacterial small subunit ribosomal RNA", at positions 524 to 776 of the family's 1533-position model. Lineage: Bacteria; Pseudomonadati; Planctomycetota; Planctomycetia. The record is from RNAcentral.
GACGAACCGUGCGAACGUUGUUCGGAAUCACUGGGCUUAAAGGGCGCGUAGGCGGCUGAUCAAGUCCGGGGUGAAAUCCUGCAGCUUAACUGUAGAAGUGCCUUGGAUACUGGUCAGCUCGAGGGAGGUAGGGGUCUGUGGAACUGCUGGUGGAGCGGUGAAAUGCGUUGAUAUCAGCAGGAACGCCGGUGGCGAAAGCGACGGACUGGAUCUCUUCUGACGCUGAGGCGCGAAAGCUAGGGGAGCAAACGGG